UACGUAGGGAGCGAGCGUUGUCCGGAUUUAUUGGGCGUAAAGAGCGCGUAGGCGGCUUGGUAAGCCGGAUGUGAAACCCCCGAGCUCAACUCGGGGCGGCCAUUCGGAACUGCUAUGGCUAGAGUCUGGUAGGGGAACACGGAAUACCUGGUGUAGCGGUGAAAUGCUUAGAUAUCAGGUGGAACACCAGUGGCGAAGGCGGUGUUCUGGGCCAGUACUGACGCUGAGGCGCGAAAGCGUGGGGAGCGAACAGG
This 254-nucleotide ribosomal RNA is filed under the name uncultured bacterium. RNAcentral's name for it is "partial 16S ribosomal RNA". It matches the Rfam family "Bacterial small subunit ribosomal RNA", at positions 524 to 776 of the family's 1533-position model. The record is from RNAcentral.